ACUCCUACGGGAGGCAGCAGUGGGGAAUAUUGGACAAUGGGCGCAAGCCUGAUCCAGCCAUGCCGCGUGGGUGAAGAAGGCCUUCGGGUUGUAAAGCCCUUUUGUUGGGAAAGAAAAGCAGUCGGUUAAUACCCGAUUGUCUGACGUACCCAAAGAUAGAC
Molecule: ribosomal RNA, 161 nt
Filed under: uncultured bacterium
Lineage: Bacteria
Description: partial 16S ribosomal RNA
Rfam family: Bacterial small subunit ribosomal RNA
Source: RNAcentral